GGAAUGGCGAUUACUACUGAGCUAAUUCUGCUGUUACCAUAUUAUGUGAAAGGUCAAAGAGAAACAGUCUUCCAGAAAAUAUGCAUAAAAGAAAGGACCUUACAAGACAACUUGCAUGGAUACUCUGAAGCAACUUUGAGGUCUCCUUGAUGAGGAAAGUUGGCUCAACCUGCUGUAGAGUAGGCCCACAGCCAAGCCAUUGAGAGACAAGUCCAUGGGAGACAAAUUAGCUCAUGCAGCUGAGAUGUCCUGGAGAUUUUCCACAGCACCACUUGGCCAGUGCCUGGACAAGGUCUCAGUUUCUGAUCCUCUUGGGCAGAAGCAGGUCUUCUACUAUAUUAUCUGAAGCCGUGUUGCCGCCUGGACCCAAGGCCACUGUGCCCAGCCUUUGUGCUCCCUGGAUCUCCUCCAGGAGCACCCUCACCCACUGUGCAAAAGGCUGUGCAAAGUAGGUAAGAGUGCCCAGA
This 467-nucleotide long non-coding RNA is filed under the name Rhinopithecus bieti (black snub-nosed monkey). RNAcentral describes it as "lncRNA (ENSRBIG00000046367.1)". Lineage: Eukaryota; Metazoa; Chordata; Mammalia; Primates; Cercopithecidae. The record is from RNAcentral.